This 254-nucleotide ribosomal RNA is filed under the name uncultured bacterium. RNAcentral describes it as "partial 16S ribosomal RNA". It matches the Rfam family "Bacterial small subunit ribosomal RNA", at positions 524 to 776 of the family's 1533-position model. The record is from RNAcentral.
UACGUAGGUGGCAAGCGUUUGUCCGGAUUUACUGGGCGUAAAGAGCGCGCAGGCGGUCGUUCAAGUCGCGUGUGAAAGCCCCCGGCUCAACUGGGGAGGGUCACGCGAUACUGAUCGACUCGAAGGCAGGAGAGGGAAGUGGAAUUCCCGGUGUAGUGGUGAAAUGCGUAGAUAUCGGGAGGAACACCAGUGGCGAAGGCGACUUCCUGGCCUGUUCUUGACGCUGAGGCGCGAAAGCGUGGGGAGCGAACAGG